UACAGGGGGCUCGAGCGUUAGUCGGAAUCACUGGGCUUAAAGGGUGCGUAGGCGGCCCGCCAAGUGCUUUGUGAAAUCCCACAGCUCAACUGUGGAACAGCAGGGCAAACUGGCGGGCUUGAAGCAGGUAGGGGCUGGAAGAACAGUUGGUGGAGCGGUGAAAUGCGUAGAUAUCAACUGGAAUGCCGAUGGGGAAGGCGGGUCUCUGGGCCGAUACUGACGCUGAGGAGCGAAAGCGUGGGGAGCGAACAGG
Molecule: ribosomal RNA, 253 nt
Filed under: uncultured bacterium
Lineage: Bacteria
Description: partial 16S ribosomal RNA
Rfam family: Bacterial small subunit ribosomal RNA
Source: RNAcentral